ACCUAUAACGCGCCUAGCUCCAUCCGAUAGGUAGGGAUUCCGACCCGCGGAUGGAGGCGGGGGACCCACCAGGUCCGCCGAGUUCGGACCGGGGCCUUCUGGCUCCUUGGGGUGAAGCCGCCGUUGUGUCAACGGAGACCGAUGCGGCCGGGUGACCUCUUCCACCCGAACCCGACAGCUGACCUCGCAGGCGUGUACACGAGAGGAAUU
RNAcentral lists this small RNA (210 nucleotides) under Mycobacterium asiaticum. RNAcentral's name for it is "c-di-AMP sequence". It matches the Rfam family "c-di-AMP riboswitch aptamer (ydaO/yuaA leader)". Rfam says of the family: This family represents a conserved RNA structure found upstream of the ydaO and yuaA genes in Bacillus subtilis and related genes in other bacteria. The ydaO/yuaA element is thought to act as a genetic "off" switch for the ydaO and yuaA genes in its native state. It is believed that the element may be triggered during osmotic shock leading to activation of ydaO, a predicted amino acid transporter gene, and members of the yuaA-yubG operon which code for KtrA and KtrB K+ transporters. The record is from RNAcentral. Lineage: Bacteria; Bacillati; Actinomycetota; Actinomycetes; Mycobacteriales; Mycobacteriaceae.